This 777-nucleotide long non-coding RNA is filed under the name Ananas comosus (pineapple). RNAcentral's name for it is "long non-coding RNA (ACOM_LNC004354)". Lineage: Eukaryota; Viridiplantae; Streptophyta; Magnoliopsida; Poales; Bromeliaceae. The record is from RNAcentral.
AAAAAAUUUAAAAACCCACGUGGCUACAUCUUCAGAACUCGGUUCCCGAACUCCGAGAAGCUUUGGAGAAGUUCAAACAUUGUAUAUAAUAAUACACACACACACACAUACAUAUAUGAGCCUUUAACACCUAAUUACUCAAGCAGGAUAAGCAAAUUUACAAAGCAUAUAUAUACUUAGUCACAUGAUACACUACUAAAACAGGUAUAAUUGACACGAGAAAAAACUCUCUGAUAUCUGAUUAGUUCUUUGCGUGAAAAGCUUAUAUAUCUUUUUCUUUUAUUUUUUUGCUUUUUCACUUUCCUUGGGAAAUUAGUGGUGGUGACCACCUGGUCCUUCGUCUGGAGGCGGCUUCGUAGGCCUUUUUGAGAGAGCUCGCUGAAUGGUGGGAACAUCUUCCUGCAAUAUGUAACAAAAUUAAUGCAUCAUGUAUACACAGAAAAAAGAAGAAGAAAAGAAGCAUAAAUAUAUAACUAGCCAUAAAUUAAACAAAGAAGAAGAAGAAGAAGAAGAAGAAGAAGAAGAAGAAGAAGAAGAAGAAUCUCUCUUACAGUAGGUUUGUGUCCGUUCUCUUCCUCCGGAGGAGGUGGAGUUGGUUCGUUGGGGUCAUCAAAACAAUCCCCCCAACCCAAGCAGCAAAAAGCUCUUAAAAUAUAUCGUAGGAAUGGAUGAGGAACGGCUUCAGUGAUGGAAGAGCAUUUCACCAUUCCCAUGGCCAUUUGGGAACUCUCUCUCUCUCUCUCUCUCUCUCUCUCUCUCCCUCCUCUCUCUCCUCUC